AUGGUUUCAUACAACGACAUACUCAAAGCAACGGACGGGUUUUCAGAAGCCAAUCUGCUUGGGAAGGGAAGAUAUGGUACUGUAUACAAAGGCACUCUAGAAAAUUUUGCUGCCGCUGUGAAGGUGUUUAAUCUGCAGCAAUCUGGAUCCUACAAGAGCUUCCUGGAUGAAUGUGAGGCACUAAGAAGAGUUAGGCACCGUUGCCUUGUAAAGAUCAUCACAUGUUGUUCAAGCAUCAACCACCAAGGCCAUGACUUCAGAGCGCUAGUCUUCGAGCUCAUGCCCAAUUUCAGCUUAGACCGCUGGAUCCACCCAGAUAUUGAAAGCCAAAACAGAAUGGGAACACUCAGCCUGUCACAGAGGUUAGAUAUCGCCGUUGACCUCGUGGAUGCUAUAGACUAUCUUCACAAUGGUUGCCAACCUUCCAUCAUCCAUUGCAAUCUCAAGCCAAGCAACAUUCUUCUCACAGAGGACAUGAGGGCUCGUGUUGGGGAUUUUGGCAUUGCUAGAAUUCUAAAAGAAGUUGCAAGCGAAGCUUCUGCAAGUUCCCUUAGCUCCAUGGGAAUAAGAGGAUCCAUCGGAUAUGUUGCUCCAGAAUAUGGAGAAGGGCUCCCAGUAUCUACUUAUGGUGAUGUGUACAGCCUUGGGAUCACCUUGAUCGAGAUGUUUACUGGAAGGUGCCCGACAGAUGAUAUGUUUAGAGAUGGGUUAACCCUGCAAUACUUUGCAGAGGCAGCAGGUCUAUCUGGGAAUGUCAUGGAGAUAGCAGACUCCAACAUCUGGCUGCAUGAUGAAGCAAAAGAUAGCACUAAUACAGAAAAUAUAACCAGAGCCAAGGAAUGUUUGGCUGCCAUCAUCCAGCUUUGUGUCCUAUGCUCAAAGCAAUUGCCCAGAGAAAGGAUGUCAACAAGUGAUGCUGCUGCAGAGAUGCAUGCCAUCAGAGAUGCCUACCUCGGUAGUCAGUGA
This 966-nucleotide ribosomal RNA is filed under the name Triticum aestivum (bread wheat). Its description in RNAcentral is "partial small subunit ribosomal RNA". Lineage: Eukaryota; Viridiplantae; Streptophyta; Magnoliopsida; Poales; Poaceae. The record is from RNAcentral.